Macaca mulatta (Rhesus monkey) is the source of this 2612-nucleotide non-coding RNA. NCBI's taxonomy places the organism in Eukaryota, Metazoa, Chordata, Mammalia, Primates, Cercopithecidae. The record is from RefSeq and is a predicted model, not a curated record.
CUCUUGGGCUCAAGUGGUCCUCCUGCCUCGGCCUCCCAAAGUGCUGGAAUUACAGGUGUGAGCCACCCUACCUUGCUGAAAUACUUAAAUUCUGAAGGACCAAACUAUCCCCUUCUCAAAGAACAAUAUGAACUAGCACCAUUAUAAACUUGAUUCUGCUAUAAGAGUCCUACUCCUGAGGGCUUCUACCUACCUUAUUUUCAUACUUAUGAAAAUUAAUGCAUGUUCAAAGCAAAUGAAUCCAAACAGUAUACAAUUAAACUCCCUUACCCUAGACCCAUUUCUCCCAGAGCAGCUGUUAUGAUCAGCCUCUGGGUGUCCUUCCAGAAAUGUCUAGGCAGGUAAUGUAUACAAUCACUUUAAAAUUUCAAAUGGGAACAUGUCAUACACAUUAUUCUGUACUUUGCUUGUUUUAACUGACAUGUAGCUUGGAUAUUAAAAAAAAAUUAACAUAGUUUCCAUUUUUUUUAAAAAAAGCUUUAUUGAUAUAUAAGUUGCCAUAAAUAAUCACCAUAUAGUUUACCUUAAAAUUCGCUUGUUUUAAAUGUACAAUUCAGUGAUUUACAGUAAACUUACAGAGUUGUGCAGUGAUCACCACAAUCUAAUUUUAGAGUAUUUUCAUCAUCCUGUGCCUAUUUACAGCCACUCCACAUCCGUGCCCCCAGGCAAGCACUAAUCUAUUUUGUUUCUAUAGAUUGAUUUUAUUACUCUUUUUAAUAGCAACCUGUGGUCUGUUUUGGAAAAGUACAAAAAUGUAUUUAAUUGGGCUUUAUCCAAGCACAUUUAGCUUUUGCUGAUGUUUUAUUUUGCUGCCUGCCUACUUUUAAAAAAAUUAGAAAAGAUUGAAGUUUUGCCUUUGAGCCAUACUUGUUAAGAGUGAUAAGGGAGUUAUAUUAGCUGAAGUUGUUUGUGGAUUUUCCAGUCAUUAACUGUGGAACUAGAAGAAUUUUGGGGCCUGGAUAAUUAUUUACAUUGGAAUAGAAACUGCCUGAGGUGUUUCUUGAUUAGAUGGAAGCCCCAGCAUUUAGUGUGUAUUUUAUGGAUGUGGGUGAAGUGGAACUAAGUAUUUACACUUGAUUGGGAUGAAGGGGGAUUUAUUAUUUCAAUUUUUUGCUUUUGUCUCUACCUAGGAGGAUUUUAGGAGCUACUCAGUGUUCAGAAAUAUGUCUUAGGAUAUAUUCUCCAAACUGUUUCUUGGGACCUGUUACUGGGUUGUGGAUUUUGACCAGCUGUUUUUUUUAAGAAGAACAAAGUAGUAGAACAGUAUGAGACAAAAUGCCCUUCAUGUUCUCAUGGUGAGCAUUGUUUUCUUAAAUGUCAACUUUUGCUUAAAUGUGUGUGUGAAUGUGUUCGUUAUGUAGUAAUUAUCAGAAACGUUGGAAAACCAGUGCCUUAAGAGUAAGAGUAUAUUCAGGCUUCCUCUUUGUCAGAGCUCUUAACUCUCCUGGGGGCAGGUAGGCUGGGGCAGGUAGGGUGAGAAGACUCAGGUAGUUCACUGAGAUAGAACUUUGUUGUUGAGGUUGGCUUGGGAAGUGAGCCAGUUGUCUUGGGAAGUAGGAGGUGAAAAUGAAACUCCCUGUGUUACCACUUUUCUCUAUCAAAAAUAAUAAAUUAUUUCAAAUGUUCUAAACAAGGAGGCUUUGGAUAGAAUUUAGGUAGCUUGUUAGCUCUUCAGUUCUGGCAACAACCAUGUGUACAUCUAGACUAGGGAGAAGUUUACAAUUAAAUUCACUGGGUCUUGUGGUUGGAAGUAACCUGAAGGGAUAUCUAUGCAAGUUUCCAUCCUGUGGGUGCAUCCCUUCUGCAAUACCUCUGCCCGACAGUUCGGCAUCUGCACUUGCAUACGUCUCCUGGAAGAGAAUUCAUGAACUCUCUAGGGAUCCCAGUUCUUCGUCAGCUUCUUCAUGUUGAAACCCUCAGGCUUGAUACGUCUCAGGGUUUGGAUUGGCAUUAGUUAUCUAUUGCUGUGUAACAAAUUACCUCAUCAUUUAGGGGCUUAAGGCAACAAAUAUUUAUUGUCUCAGGAACAAGUCAGGAGUUUUGGAGCAGCUCAUCUGGAUGAUGUGGCUCAGGGCCUCUCGUGAGACUGUGGUCAAGUUGACAGUUGGGGCUGUCGUCAUUUGGAGGCUGAAUGGACUGAAGGAUCCACUUUCAACAUGGCUCCUGCACACACUUGUUGGCAAGAGGCCUCAGUUCCUACUGUGUGAACGUCCACUUGGAGCUGCCUGAGUGACACACUCUCCCUCGGAUCAGAAAGGAGACGUUGGUAAUGCCAAAGAUACUCCUUUGCUCCCUUCACAAAUGGGCACAGAUAUGGUCCUUUUGCCACCAGCUCUAGAAAGAAACAUGCAGAGAUGUUUGAAGGCAAGAAGACAGUGGCCUGCAUGACUUGGAGCCUUUCUCAAUUUGCUCCAUUAAAUGGAAACUCCGGAACCCAGGAUCUGUCCACAUGGUGGCUUUACUCCUACCUGUUUGGAUGUGAAAAACACAAUUCGAAUUAUAGAAUUAGGGAAAAAGAACCAAGAGCGCUGUAGCCAGGCUGCCAUCUUUACCUUUUGAGUUUCAUCUUGCUGUGUUGCCCAGGCUCUAGAAUACAGUGGCUUGAUCUCAGC